Molecule: ribosomal RNA, 246 nt
Filed under: uncultured bacterium
Lineage: Bacteria
Description: partial small subunit ribosomal RNA
Rfam family: Bacterial small subunit ribosomal RNA
Source: RNAcentral
AGAAUCAACGCUGGCGGCGUGCCUAACACAUGCAAGUCGAACGAGAAAGUGGAGCAAUCCAUGAGUAAAGUGGCGCACGGGUGAGUAACACGUGACUAACCUACCUUUUAGUGGGGGAUAACCUAGGGAAACCUGGGCUAAUACCGCAUAACACUUACGAGUCAAAGCAGCAAUGCGCUGAAAGGAGGGGGUCGCGGCCGAUUAGCUAGUUGGCGGGGUAAUGGCCCACCAAGGCAGUGAUCGGUA